AAUAGAUACCCGGGUAGUCCACGCCCUAAACGAUGCAUAUUUGGUGUGGGCCAUUCAUUUGGUCUGUGCCGGAGCUAACGCGUUAAAUAUGCCGCCUGGGGAGUACAGUCGCAAGGCUGAAACUCAAAGGAAUUGACGGGGGCCCGCACAAGCGGUGGAGCAUGUGGUUUAAUUCGACGCAACGCGAAGAACCUUACCUGGGCUCGAAAUGCUUACGACCAUCUUUGGAAACAGAGACUUCCCGCAAGGGACGUGAGUAUAGGUGCUGCAUGGCUGUCGUCAGCUCGUGUCGUGAGAUGUUGGGUUAAGUCCCGCAACGAGCGCAACCCUUGUCCUGUGUUGCCAUACCGAAAGGUGGAACUCGCAGGAGACCGCCAGGGAUAACCUGGAGGAAGGUGGGGAUGACGUCAAGUCCUCAUGGCCUUUAUGUCCAGGGCUACACACGUGCUACAAUGGACGGUACAAAGCGCUGCCAACCCGCGGAGGGGAGCCAAUCGCAAAAAGCCGGUCCCGGUUCGGAUUGAAGGCUGAACUCGCCU
Molecule: ribosomal RNA, 539 nt
Filed under: uncultured bacterium
Lineage: Bacteria
Description: bacterial SSU rRNA
Rfam family: Bacterial small subunit ribosomal RNA
Source: RNAcentral